CCUACGGGUGGCAGCAGUGGGGAAUAUUGGGCAAUGGGCGCAAGCCUGACCCAGCAACGCCGCGUGAAGGAAGAAGGCUUUCGGGUUGUAAACUUCUUUUAAGAGGGAAGAGCAGAAGACGGUACCUCUUGAAUAAGCCACGGCUAACUACGUGCCAGCAGCCGCGGUAAUACGUAGGUGGCAAGCGUUGUCCGGAUUUACUGGGUGUAAAGGGCGUGUAGCCGGGCUGACAAGUCAGAUGUGAAAUCCGGGGGCUCAACCCCCGAACUGCAUUUGAAACUGUUGGUCUUGAGUAUCGGAGAGGCAGGCGGAAUUCCUAGUGUAGCGGUGAAAUGCGUAGAUAUUAGGAGGAACACCAGUGGCGAAGGCGGCUUACUGGACUGUAACUGACGUUGAGGCUCGAAAGCGUGGGGAGCAAACAGGAUUAGAUACCCCUGUAGUC
RNAcentral lists this ribosomal RNA (442 nucleotides) under uncultured bacterium. RNAcentral describes it as "partial 16S ribosomal RNA". It matches the Rfam family "Bacterial small subunit ribosomal RNA", at positions 338 to 795 of the family's 1533-position model. The record is from RNAcentral.